RNAcentral lists this ribosomal RNA (490 nucleotides) under uncultured bacterium. RNAcentral describes it as "partial 16S ribosomal RNA". It matches the Rfam family "Bacterial small subunit ribosomal RNA", at positions 30 to 507 of the family's 1533-position model. The record is from RNAcentral.
AUUGAACGCUGGCGGCAGGCCUAACACAUGCAAGUCGAACGGUAACAGGAAGAAGCUUGCUUCUUUGCUGACGAGUGGCGGACGGGUGAGUAAUGUCUGGGAAACUGCCUGAUGGAGGGGGAUAACUACUGGAAACGGUAGCUAAUACCGCAUAACGUCGCAAGACCAAAGAGGGGGACCUUCGGGCCUCUUGCCAUCGGAUGUGCCCAGAUGGGAUUAGCUAGUAGGUGGGGUAACGGCUCACCUAGGCGACGAUCCCUAGCUGGUCUGAGAGGAUGACCAGCCACACUGGAACUGAGACACGGUCCAGACUCCUACGGGAGGCAGCAGUGGGGAAUAUUGCGCAAUGGGCGCAAGCCUGAUGCAGCCAUGCCGCGUGUAUGAAGAAGGCCUUCGGGUUGUAAAGUACUUUCAGCGGGGAGGAAGGGAGUAGAGUUAAUACCUUUGCUCAUUGACGUUACCCGCAGAAGAAGCACCGGCUAACUCCGUG